UGUUCCGUAGUAUAGUGGUCAGUACAAUUUCACAGAUGAUUCCGCUCGGGACCCGGGUUCAAUUCCCGGCGGGAGAG
Molecule: non-coding RNA, 77 nt
Organism: Lasiosphaeria miniovina
Lineage: Eukaryota; Fungi; Ascomycota; Sordariomycetes; Sordariales; Lasiosphaeriaceae
Source: the annotation of a RefSeq genome assembly